RNAcentral lists this long non-coding RNA (206 nucleotides) under Spirodela polyrhiza (greater duckweed). RNAcentral's name for it is "long non-coding RNA (SPOL_LNC001357)". Lineage: Eukaryota; Viridiplantae; Streptophyta; Magnoliopsida; Alismatales; Araceae. The record is from RNAcentral.
UUUAUUUCAAAAUUAGAAUUCUGUCAAUUUAGUAUCAAAGUCAUAUUUUUUAAGCCAAAUCCCUAUAACAUUCUAGUGACUCUCAUAACUACGAUAGCUCUUAAAGAUGGUAAGAAUAAUACUGUCAGCAUGUUAAAGAAAAUUAUGUGAAAUAGAAAUAUAACAUCUUCCUCAAGUUGGGUUAAAAUAUAAUUCUUAUACACCAC